This 1176-nucleotide ribosomal RNA is filed under the name Neoscytalidium dimidiatum. Its description in RNAcentral is "eukaryotic LSU rRNA". It matches the Rfam family "Eukaryotic large subunit ribosomal RNA", at positions 59 to 1450 of the family's 3401-position model. Lineage: Eukaryota; Fungi; Ascomycota; Dothideomycetes; Botryosphaeriales; Botryosphaeriaceae. The record is from RNAcentral.
AAGAAACCAACAGGGAUUGCCUCAGUAACGGCGAGUGAAGCGGCAACAGCUCAAAUUUGAAAGCUGGCCCCCCCGGGGGUCCGCGUUGUAAUUUGUAGAGGAUGAUUCGGCGAGGGCUCCCGCCUAAGUCCCCUGGAACGGGGCGUCAUAGAGGGUGAGAAUCCCGUAUGCGGUGGGCUGCCUUAGCCAUGUGAAUCUCCUUCGACGAGUCGAGUUGUUUGGGAAUGCAGCUCUAAAUGGGAGGUAAAUUUCUUCUAAAGCUAAAUACCGGCCAGAGACCGAUAGCGCACAAGUAGAGUGAUCGAAAGAUGAAAAGCACUUUGGAAAGAGAGUUAAAAAGUACGUGAAAUUGUUGAAAGGGAAGCGCUUGCAGCCAGACUUGUCCGCAGUUGCUCAGCCGGUCUCCUGACCGGCGCACUCUUCUGCGGCCAGGCCAGCAUCAGUUCGGGCGGUCGGAUAAAGGCCCCGGGAACGUAGCUCCUCUCGGGGAGUGUUAUAGCCCGGGGUGGAAUGCGGCCAGCCUGGACUGAGGAUCUCGCUUCGGCUAGGAUGCUGGCGUAAUGGCUGUAAGCGGCCCGUCUUGAAACACGGACCAAGGAGUCUAACAUCUAUGCGAGUGUUUGGGUGUCAAACCCAUGCGCGUAAUGAAAGUGAACGGAGGUGGGAACCCUCGCGGGUGCACCAUCGACCGAUCCUGAUGUCUUCGGAUGGAUUUGAGUAAGAGCAUAGCUGUUGGGACCCGAAAGAUGGUGAACUAUGCCUGAAUAGGGUGAAGCCAGAGGAAACUCUGGUGGAGGCUCGCAGCGGUUCUGACGUGCAAAUCGAUCGUCAAAUUUGGGUAUAGGGGCGAAAGACUAAUCGAACCAUCGACUACUAGGUGGUUAAGAGGUGGCUGAAAGUGCCCACCUAGUCCCCCCGUCCUCGGACGGGGGGGCGACAUCGCCAAAUUGCGGGGACUCCCUUAGAGCCUCUACUACCGCGGCCGGCCGAAAGGCGCGGUGCAGCACCGGGUUAAUUGCCUAGGGUACGGUAAAAAGGUAGAGGAUUGGGAAAUCCGCAGCCAAGCGCCUAAGUCCCGCGGGAUACGGCGAAGGUUCAGAGACUAGAUGGCGGUGGGUCCGGCCCGAGGGCCGGGCCUAAGGUAUAGUCCACCCCCCGCGGAGACGCGGGCGGAUC